RNAcentral lists this ribosomal RNA (850 nucleotides) under Pseudocercospora eucalyptorum. Its description in RNAcentral is "eukaryotic LSU rRNA". It matches the Rfam family "Eukaryotic large subunit ribosomal RNA", at positions 61 to 943 of the family's 3401-position model. The record is from RNAcentral. Lineage: Eukaryota; Fungi; Ascomycota; Dothideomycetes; Mycosphaerellales; Mycosphaerellaceae.
GAAACCAACAGGGAUUGCCCUAGUAACGGCGAGUGAAGCGGCAACAGCUCAAAUUUGAAAUCUGGCGCAAGCCCGAGUUGUAAUUUGUAGAGGAUGCUUCUGGGUAGCGGCCGGUCUAAGUUCCUUGGAACAGGACGUCAUAGAGGGUGAGAAUCCCGUAUGUGACUGGCUUGCACCCUCCACGUAGCUCCUUCGACGAGUCGAGUUGUUUGGGAAUGCAGCUCUAAAUGGGAGGUAAAUUUCUUCUAAAGCUAAAUACCGGCCAGAGACCGAUAGCGCACAAGUAGAGUGAUCGAAAGAUGAAAAGCACUUUGGAAAGAGAGUUAAAAAGCACGUGAAAUUGUUGAAAGGGAAGCGCCCGCAACCAGACUUUGCGGCAGUGUUCGGCCGGUCUUCUGACCGGUUUACUCGCUGUCGUGAGGCCAUCAUCGUCUGGGACCGCUGGAUAAGAACUUAGGAAUGUAGCUCCCCUCGGGGAGUGUUAUAGCCUCUGGUGAUGCGGCGCGUCUCGGGCGAGGUCCGCGCUUCGGCAAGGAUGAUGGCGUAAUGGUUGUCGGCGGCCCGUCUUGAAACACGGACCAAGGAGUCUAACAUCUAUGCGAGUGUUCGGGUGUCAAACCCCUACGCGUAAUGAAAGUGAACGGAGGUGGGAACUUUUUGUGCACCAUCGACCGAUCCUGAUGUCCUCGGAUGGAUUUGAGUAAGAGCAUAGCUGUUGGGACCCGAAAGAUGGUGAACUAUGCCUGAAUAGGGUGAAGCCAGAGGAAACUCUGGUGGAGGCUCGCAGCGGUUCUGACGUGCAAAUCGAUCGUCAAAUUUGGGUAUAGGGGCGAAAGACUAAUCGAACCAU